This 271-nucleotide ribosomal RNA is filed under the name uncultured bacterium. Its description in RNAcentral is "partial 16S ribosomal RNA". It matches the Rfam family "Bacterial small subunit ribosomal RNA", at positions 333 to 596 of the family's 1533-position model. The record is from RNAcentral.
CGCGUCCUACGGGGGGCAGCAGUAGGGAAUUUUCGGCAAUGGGGGGAACCCUGACCGAGCAACGCCGCGUGAAGGAAGAAGGAAUUCGUUCUGUAAACUUCUGUUAUAGAGGAAGAAAGGCGGAUGAAGGAAAUGACAUCCGAGUGCCGGUACUUUAUGAGAAAGCCACGGCUAACUACGUGCCAGCAGCCGCGGUAAUACGUAGGUGGCAAGCGUUAUCCGGAAUUAUUGGGCGUAAAGAGGGAGCAGACGGCAGCAAAGGUCUGUGUAG